GAUGAAGAACGCAGCGAAAUGCGAUAAGUAAUGUGAAUUGCAGAAUUCAGUGAAUCAUCGAAUCUUUGAACGCACAUUGCGCCCGCCAGUAUUCUGGCGGGCAUGCCUGUUCGAGCGUCAUUUCAACCAUCAAGCCCUGCUUGCGUUGGGGUCCUGCGGCUGCCCGCAGGCCCUGAAAACCAGUGGCGGGCUCGCUGGUCACACCGAGCGCAGUAAUACAUCUCGCUUUGGGCGUGCGGCGGGUUCUUGCCGUUAAACACCCCCUUUUUACCAAGGUUGACCUCGGAUCAGGUAGGAAUACCCGCUGAACUUAAGCAUAUCAAUAAGCGGAGGA
This 334-nucleotide unclassified non-coding RNA is filed under the name soil metagenome. Its description in RNAcentral is "partial contains 5.8S ribosomal RNA, internal transcribed spacer 2, and large subunit ribosomal RNA". The stretch from base 1 to 120 matches the Rfam family "5.8S ribosomal RNA", at positions 35 to 154 of the family's 154-position model. The record is from RNAcentral.